CCUACGGGGGGCAGCAGUGAGGAAUAUUGGUCAAUGGGCGCGAGCCUGAACCAGCCAAGUAGCGUGAAGGAUGACUGCCCUACGGGUUGUAAACUUCUUUUAUAAAGGAAUAAAGUGAGGCACGUGUGCCUUUUUGUAUGUAUUUUAUGAAUAAGGACCGGCUAAUUCCGUGCCAGCAGCCGCGGUAAUACGGAGGAUCCGAGCCUUAUCCGGAUUUAUUGGGUUUAAAGGGAGCGUAGGUGGGUUGUUAAGUUCGGUGUGAAAGUUUGCGGCUCAACCGUAAGAUUGCAAUUGAUACUGGCAGCCUUGAGUACGGUUGAGGUAGGCGGAAUUCGUGGUGUAGCGGUGAAAUGCGUAGAUAUCAGGAAGAACUCCGAUUGCGAAGGCAGCCUACUGAACUGCCACUGACAUUGAGGCUCGAAAGUGUGGGUAUCAAACAGGAUUAGAUACCCGUGUAGUC
RNAcentral lists this ribosomal RNA (460 nucleotides) under uncultured bacterium. RNAcentral's name for it is "partial 16S ribosomal RNA". It matches the Rfam family "Bacterial small subunit ribosomal RNA", at positions 338 to 795 of the family's 1533-position model. The record is from RNAcentral.